AAAAAGAAGCAUUUCACAGCGUGCGCGUCAGUUCAUAUUUAGCUUUAAGGUUGCAGAUGCUUGUUUCACUAUUUGCAGCGAGGUUUUAGACAAUGUUAAGUUAUAAACUAGUUGAAUAUAUAUGGUUUUCAACCAAAAAAAAGUUUCAGCUAGAAAUAAUAAGUUUUUCUAUCUUUAGAACGCAUUUAGUAUAAGAAAUAGUACUGUAUAUAGUUUGUACAUGAUGCUCCUAGUUUGGCAAUAAGAAAGGAAGUGUGGUGCUACUGCACAAUUAAUAUUAAAACUGUUAUAAUGCAGAUGUAGUUGAAAUAAUGAAUUUUUAACUAAAAAAUUGUAUGUUGAAACAUUAACUUCGAAAUAAUAUGAUCUAAAUGGAUGGUGGAGAGCAGCACAUUAAGUUUGUGUCUUGAUCACUACUGGAACAAGAGUUUGUAGAAGAAAAUUUGUCGACAACACCGGUACAUUUAGAAGCAGGAUGGAAACCGAAAGAGUGUGUGAAUUACAUGUAUCUACAGAGUGGUUUGUAAACCCAACAUUUGAAAAAAAAGACAACAUGCAUAACAUAAUAUGCAGUACUGACAU
Ciona intestinalis (vase tunicate) is the source of this 582-nucleotide long non-coding RNA. RefSeq lists it as uncharacterized. The record is from RefSeq and is a predicted model, not a curated record. NCBI's taxonomy places the organism in Eukaryota, Metazoa, Chordata, Ascidiacea, Phlebobranchia, Cionidae.